Molecule: ribosomal RNA, 880 nt
Filed under: uncultured bacterium
Lineage: Bacteria
Description: bacterial SSU rRNA
Rfam family: Bacterial small subunit ribosomal RNA
Source: RNAcentral
UCAUGGCUCAGGACGAACGCUGGCGGCGUGCCUAGGACAUGCAAGUCGAACGCGAGGGCCUUCGGGCCUGGGAGUGGCGAACGGCGGAGUAAUACGUAAGCAACGUGCCCUGAAGAUCGGGAUAUACCGGGGAAACCCGGGGCAAUACCGGAUGUGGCCGUUUCCCGGCAUCGGGAGACGAUUAAAUGGUUUUUCGCUUCAGGAGCGGCUUACGGCCUAUCAGCUAGUUGGUGAGGUAACGGCCCACCAAGGCUUCGACGGGUAACUGGUCUGAGAGGACGACCAGUCCGAGUGGGACUGAGACACGGCCCACACACCUACGGGUGGCAGCAGUUGGGAAUCUUGCACAAUGGGGGAAACCCUGAUGCAGCGACGCCGCGUGAAGGAUGAAGGAUUUAGGUCUGUAAACUUCUUUUGCCAAGAAAGACUUAGGACGGUACUUGGCGAAUAAGCUCCGGCUAACUACGUGCCAGCAGCCGCGGUAAUACGUAGGGAGCAAGCGUUGUCCGGAUUUACUGGGCGUAAAGGGCGCGUAGGCGGUCUGUUAAGCGUGAAGUGAAAUCUCCAGGGCUCAACCCGGAAACUGCUUUGCGAACUGGCAGACUAGAGGAAGGCAGAGGUGAAUGGAAUUCCUGGUGUAGCGGUGACAUGCAUUGAUAUCAGGAGGAACACCCGAAGCGAAGGCGGUUCACUGGGCCUUAUCUGACGCUGAGGCGCGAAAGCGUGGGUAGCAAACAGAAUUAGAUACUCUGGUAGUCCACGCCCUAAACGAUGGAUACUAGGCGUCGGGGGUAUCGACCCCUCCGGUGCCGCAGUUAACGCAAUAAGUAUCCCGCCUGAGUAGUACGACCGCAAGGUUGAAACUCAAAUGAAUUGACGG